Molecule: unclassified non-coding RNA, 357 nt
Filed under: soil metagenome
Description: partial contains 5.8S ribosomal RNA, internal transcribed spacer 2, and large subunit ribosomal RNA
Rfam family: 5.8S ribosomal RNA (bases 1-120)
Source: RNAcentral
GAUGAAGAACGCAGCGAAAUGCGAUAAGUAAUGUGAAUUGCAGAAUUCAGUGAAUCAUCGAAUCUUUGAACGCUCAUUGCGUCCGUUAGCAUUCUAGCGGGCAUGCCUGUCCGAGCGUCAUUUCAACCCUCAGGGUCCCCGUUCCGGCGGGGAACCUGGUGUUGGGGAUCGGCCCGCCCCGUGCGGCGCCGUCCCCCAAAUUCAGUGGCGGUCUCGCUGCAGCCUCCCCUGCGUAGUAGUUACAACCUCGCAUCGGAGCUCAGCGCGGCCACGCCGUAAAACCCCCGACUUUCUGAACGUUGACCUCGGAUCAGGUAGGAAUACCCGCUGAACUUAAGCAUAUCAAUAAGCGGAGGA